CGUGUAGGCGGCCAGGUAGGUCAGCUGUGAAAACUCGAGGCUCAACCUCGAGAUGUCGGCUGAAACCAUCUGGCUAGAGUCCGGAAGAGGAGAAUGGAAUUCCCGGUGUAGCGGUGAAAUGCGCAGAUAUCGGGAAGAACACCCGUGGCGAAGGCGGUUCUCUGGGACGGUACUGACGCUGAGACGCGAAAGCGUGGGGAGCGAACA
This 207-nucleotide ribosomal RNA is filed under the name uncultured bacterium. Its description in RNAcentral is "partial 16S ribosomal RNA". It matches the Rfam family "Bacterial small subunit ribosomal RNA", at positions 568 to 774 of the family's 1533-position model. The record is from RNAcentral.